UCUGGAUGAGUUGCGAACGGGUGAGUAACGCGUAGGUAACCUGCCUGGUAGCGGGGGAUAACUAUUGGAAACGAUAGCUAAUACCGCAUAAGAGUAGAUGUUGCAUGACAUUUGCUUAAAAGGUGCAAUUGCACCACUACCAGAUGGACCUGCGUUGUAUUAGCUAGUUGGUGGGGUAACGGCUCACCAAGGCGACGAUACAUAGCCGACCUGAGAGGGUGAUCGGCCACACUGGGACUGAGACACGGCCCAGACUCCUACGGGAGGCAGCAGUAGGGAAUCUUCGGCAAUGGACGGAAGUCUGACCGAGCAACGCCGCGUGAGUGAAGAAGGUUUUCGGAUCGUAAAGCUCUGUUGUAAGAGAAGAACGAGUGUGAGAGUGGAAAGUUCACACUGUGACGGUAUCUUACCAGAAAGGGACGGCUAACUACGUGCCAGCAGCCGCGGUAAUACGUAGGUCCCGAGCGUUGUCCGGAUUUAUUGGGCGUAAAGCGAGCGCAGGCGGUUAGAUAAGUCUGAAGUUAAAGGCUGUGGCUUAACCAUAGUACGCUUUGGAAACUGUUUAACUUGAGUGCAAGAGGGGAGAGUGGAAUUCCAUGUGUAGCGGUGAAAUGCGUAGAUAUAUGGAGGAACACCGGUGGCGAAAGCGGCUCUC
Molecule: ribosomal RNA, 655 nt
Filed under: uncultured Bacilli bacterium
Lineage: Bacteria; Bacillati; Bacillota; Bacilli
Description: bacterial SSU rRNA
Rfam family: Bacterial small subunit ribosomal RNA
Source: RNAcentral